RNAcentral lists this ribosomal RNA (437 nucleotides) under Thalassiosira rotula. RNAcentral's name for it is "partial Eukaryotic small subunit ribosomal RNA". It matches the Rfam family "Eukaryotic small subunit ribosomal RNA", at positions 737 to 1174 of the family's 1831-position model. The record is from RNAcentral. Lineage: Eukaryota; Bacillariophyta; Thalassiosirophyceae; Thalassiosirales; Thalassiosiraceae.
GGGGAACCAGGACUUUUACUGUGAAAAAAUUAGAGUGUUCAAAGCAGGCCUUCGCCCGAAUACAUUAGCAUGGAAUAAUAGAAUAGGACGUUGUGGUUCUAUUUUGUUGGUUUCUAGGACCGCCGUAAUGAUUAAUAGGGAUAGUCGGGGGCAUCAGUAUUCAAUUGUCAGAGGUGAAAUUCUUGGAUUUAUUGAAGACUAACUACUGCGAAAGCAUUUGCCAAGGAUGUUUUCAUUAAUCAGGAACGAAAGUUAGGGGAUCGAAGACGAUCAGAUACCGUCGUAGUCUUAACCGUAAACGAUGCCGACUAGGGAUCGGGCGAUGUUAUCAUUUUGACUCGCUCGGCACCUUACGAGAAAUCAAAGUUUUUGGGUUCUGGGGGGAGUAUGGUCGCAAGGCUGAAACUUAAAGGAAUUGACGGAAGGGCACCACCAGG